RNAcentral lists this ribosomal RNA (404 nucleotides) under uncultured bacterium. Its description in RNAcentral is "bacterial SSU rRNA". It matches the Rfam family "Bacterial small subunit ribosomal RNA", at positions 355 to 775 of the family's 1533-position model. The record is from RNAcentral.
CAGGGAAUAUUGCGCAAUGGACGGAAGUCUGACGCAGCGACGCCGCGUGGAUGAUGAAGGCCUUCGGGUUGUAAAAUCCUUUUCAGGGGGAAGAGUGAGGACGGUACCCCUGGAAUAAGCGUCGGCUAACUACGUGCCAGCAGCCGCGGUAAGACGUAGGACGCGAGCGUUAUCCGGAUUUACUGGGCGUAAAGCGUCUGUAGGCGGAAGUGUAAGUUGGACGUGAAAGCUCCGGGCUCAACUCGGAGAGGCCGUUCAAUACUGCACAACUAGAGGCCAUCAGAGGGGCGUGGAAUUUCCGGUGUAGCGGUAAAAUGCGCAGAUAUCGGAAGGAACACCAGUGGCGAAGGCGGCGCCCUGGGGUGGGCCUGACGCUAAGAGACGAAAGCUAGGGGAGCGAACAG